This 774-nucleotide ribosomal RNA is filed under the name uncultured Neocallimastigales. RNAcentral's name for it is "partial large subunit ribosomal RNA". It matches the Rfam family "Eukaryotic large subunit ribosomal RNA", at positions 18 to 644 of the family's 3401-position model. The record is from RNAcentral. Lineage: Eukaryota; Fungi; Neocallimastigomycota; Neocallimastigomycetes; Neocallimastigales.
UCAGACGAUGCGUCAUGCAUAUCAAUAAGCGGAGGAAAAGAAACUAACAAGGAUUCCCCUAGUAACGGCGAGUGAAGCGGGAAGAGCUCAAAUUUGAAAUCUUAAAGGGUUUCCCUUUACGAGUUGUAGUUUAAAGAAGUGUUUUCUGUUGAGGUUUUGGUAAAAGUUCUUUGGAAUAGGACAUCAUAGAGGGUGAGAAUCCCGUAUUUGACCUUUACUUUCAACUUUGUGAUACACUUUCAAAGAGUCGGAUUAUUUGGGAAUGCAGUCCAAAAUGGGUGGUAAAUUUCAUCUAAAGCUAAAUAUUGGCGAGAGACCGAUAGCGAACAAGUACCGUGAGGGAAAGAUGAAAAGAACUUUGAAAAGAGAGUUAAACAGUACGUGAAAUUGUCAAAAGGGAAGCGUUUGACACCAGUGUUGUUUUUCUGAAAAUCAAUUAAAGAACUGUUUAUGCUAAGCUGUUUAGACUUUAUCAGCUAUCUGUUUAGUUUUGAGCUUUUCUUUAAUGCACUUUUCAGUUAACAAGUCAACAUCAAUUUCUUUUGCUGUAAAAAAGCUUGAGGAAGGUGGCUUGAGAUUCGUCUUAAGUGUUUAUAGCCUCUUGCCUAUGCAGUCGGAGAGAUUGAGGUCUGCAGCGUAGAUCCUUCGGGGCUAAAUGCAUUUGUGCUAAGUUAUAGCAUUUCAUAGACAACUUGUUGACUAUGAUUUGUCUUGUAGCUUACUCGCUUAUGUUAUUUUACCUACGCUUAGGAUGUUGAAUCUGUGCGAGACUAC